GAUGAACGCUGGCGGCGUGCCUAAUACAUGCAAGUCGAGCGAAUGGAUUAAGAGCUUGCUCUUAUGAAGUUAGCGGCGGACGGGUGAGUAACACGUGGGUAACCUGCCCAUAAGACUGGGAUAACUCCGGGAAACCGGGGCUAAUACCGGAUAACAUUUUGAACCGCAUGGUUCGAAAUUGAAAGGCGGCUUCGGCUGUCACUUAUGGAUGGACCCGCGUCGCAUUAGCUAGUUGGUGAGGUAACGGCUCACCAAGGCAACGAUGCGUAGCCGACCGUAGAGGGUGAUCGGCCACAAUGGGACUGAGACACGGCCCAGACUCCUACGGGAGGCAGCAGUAGGGAAUCUUCCGCAAUGGACGAAAGUCUGACGGAGCAACGCCGCGUGAGUGAUGAAGGCUUUCGGGUCGUAAAACUCUGUUGUUAGGGAAGAACAAGUGCUAGUUGAAUAAGCUGACACCUUGACGGUACCUGCAGAAAAAGCACCGGCUAACUACGUGCCAGCAGCCGCCGUAA
Molecule: ribosomal RNA, 515 nt
Filed under: uncultured bacterium
Lineage: Bacteria
Description: partial 16S ribosomal RNA
Rfam family: Bacterial small subunit ribosomal RNA
Source: RNAcentral